This 253-nucleotide ribosomal RNA is filed under the name uncultured bacterium. RNAcentral's name for it is "partial 16S ribosomal RNA". It matches the Rfam family "Bacterial small subunit ribosomal RNA", at positions 524 to 776 of the family's 1533-position model. The record is from RNAcentral.
UACGGAGGGUGCAAGCGUUAUCCGGAUUCACUGGGUUUAAAGGGUGCGUAGGUGGGCAGGUAAGUCAGUGGUGAAAUCUCCGGGCUUAACCCGGAAACUGCCAUUGAUACUAUCAGUCUUGAAUACCGUGGAGGUAAGCGGAAUAUGUCAUGUAGCGGUGAAAUGCUUAGAUAUGACAUAGAACACCAAUUGCGAAGGCAGCUUACUACCCGAACAUUGACACUGAGGCACGAAAGCGUGGGGAUCAAACAGG